RNAcentral lists this unclassified non-coding RNA (1591 nucleotides) under Hevea brasiliensis (rubber tree). The record is from RNAcentral. Lineage: Eukaryota; Viridiplantae; Streptophyta; Magnoliopsida; Malpighiales; Euphorbiaceae.
GAAAUUUCCCCCUCGUUCCUUCCUUCGCGUUAUCGUUCCCAUACUGGCUUUGAAAGCAUUUAGCAAUAGCACCUUCAACUAUGUAUUCUUGUCCUUAUUGCUGGCCCAUAUAUGGGUGGCUUCGUCGUUCUUCUCAGUUUCUAUAUGCUCAAGAAUAUUAAUGUUUUCACUACAGCUCAAGCUGUUUGCAACCAGAAGGGACUUUGGUUCGAUUCAAAGUUUGGAGUUUUGGUGGAUGCCAAUCAUGGGGUUUCAAUAAAGAUUGUUGGGUCUAUUAUUAUUUUUUUUUUGGUCAUUUAUUCAGUUUCUAGUCGGAAUGUUUGGGUUUUUGGAUUGAAACCCAUUGGUGAUGGUGAUCGCGAUUCGGUUAAAUUGAUGACUUUUGCUGUCAUUGAGUGUUUUCUGCCGGUUUGGUCCAUUAGUUUUUCUUUUGGGAACUUGAUUUUGGGGGAAGAUGAUGGAGUUAGGGUUUUCAGUUUGAGGCAGAUAGUGAAAGGGAGUGUUAAGAGAGUUAAGAGGUCGAAUUCAAAUGGGAAUUCGGAUUUGAAUGGAAAAUUGGACAAUAAAGGAUUGAGAUUGCCAAAUGAGGUUAUUGGAAGUAAUCAUCAGUUCAUCACUGUGGUUCAACUGCUUGCAUUAGUUUCUUGGAUGUGAAGAUUGAUAAGCACUGUAUUUCAGGCAUUUCUUUUUGACCAGGAAAUGGAACUCAUAUUAAGCAAGGUGCUGUCCUUUGGUAUAAUGCAUAAGGAUGCCUCUAGAGUCUAGACGGUAAAUUACUGAUUAUUAGAAACAUAUAUGUCUCGGAUUAAGGGCUGCCUCUUCUGUUGUGAUGACCAUAGAAUCUUUUGUUAUUUGUGUAGUAGUUGUGCUCAAUAAUUUUGUGGUAUGAAGAUGCACAAAAAUGCUGAGUGGUCACUGGCUUGUUGAGCCAUUAUGCCUUUCAAAUUGCAGUAAAACUCAAGUCUGUAAGACGUAGUCAAGGUUCUGGUGAAGGGGCUGCAUGUCUUGUGGCCUUUAAGAGCAAGGAGGUUGAGGGCUCAAAUUCAACUGCCAAGUUUCCAUCCUGGCACUGUUCCCCAAAAAGUUUUAUGAUUUUGGAUUCUACCAGAGACUCACAUAUCUUGUGUCUGUCUUACCCUGUUGGUGGAUCAAAUAUCAGAUCUCACAUUAUGCAUUUGCCUGACAGAAUGAAAAUGCAAAAGCUGGCCAUUCUUCCUGAUAUUUCUUCAAGCAGUUCUUAUUCCCUCAAUGUAAAUCUUUCACUUGCUUACAUAUUAAAUAAUGGUGUGAUCAAGGCCUAUCUUGUUGCAUAUUUAGCAAAAUGUUUUAGGACUUGCCCAAUAUGUGUGUUAGGCUUCUGGGUGUCAUUGAUUGAGAAAGAAAAUGGCAAUGAAGCUUCAUGUCAAGUUAAAUAAAAAUGAAUUUUCAGAUUAGCAAAUGGAAGCUUUCAAGUUACUUGAUUAUGCUGCCACAUUUAAUGCUGUUUUAACUUCUGCCCUUGGAAAAAGCAUGUGUUGUCAUUAAUUGAAUUAACCUGCCAUGAUACCAUCAUUAUGCCGAAAUUCAGACUUUCUGGAUAUCAGAUGGAUUC